Molecule: long non-coding RNA, 9869 nt
Filed under: Citrus sinensis (sweet orange)
Lineage: Eukaryota; Viridiplantae; Streptophyta; Magnoliopsida; Sapindales; Rutaceae
Description: long non-coding RNA (CSIN_LNC001865)
Source: RNAcentral
UUUUUCAUAUGUAUGGGUUAUUUUCUUUAAUAAUGACACACAAAUGCUGUGUAUUUGUUUGGUAAUAAAAAAUUUGUUCAAACCAUGCACAUGGAGAAGACAUUGACGUAACAAUAGAUUCCGCCAGGCAGAAACUCGAUGCAGUACAUCGAGCUCAGAUCCUAAUCCUGCAAUUUCCAGUACAUCGAUCAGCAGCAGCCCCCACAUACUCUUUUAUUAUUAUUGUUUUUUUUUUUUAAAAAAAAAAAACUCUGUUUAUUUUAUUUUUAUGUUAUUCUGUUUACAGAAAAUCUACUCAAAUUAAUGAACAGGGAUUAAUUAAAAGAUAGAUAGAAUUUUCCAAUAAAUCAGUCUUAAUUAAUGUUAAACAUGUCCAUGCAUGUGGCAAACAAUUGCAUGUACGUAACAUGUAAUUUUUGGCUCUUGACGUAAAGUUUUUGAAUAAGUGGGAGACACGAAUAAGUGGAAGACAUGUAACUUUUGACUUUAGCACCAAAAUAAAAAGUUGAGAAAAAAAUUAUAUUAUUUUAAUACCCACCAUUAUUGAUUUUUGGGCAUUACAUUUCCUAUAAAUUGAGGCUUCAUUUGCUUCUUCAAUCAUCCCAUUUUUUAUUCAAUUCAAGUGAGAGUGUCAAUAGGUGUAAGUUGAGAGCUUUAAACUCUAAUUUUAGUAUUUUUGAGAGUUUGGGUGUAUUGGGAUUUUGGGUUGUGAGACAAAAUAGUACAAUAUUUGUAACUCAUUUUCAUUAAUAAAAUAUUUCUUUUUGUUUUUACCCGUGAACAUAGGUUAAAAGUUGAAUUACGUAAAUUUUGGUGUCCCUGUGUGAUCAUUAUCGUGUCUGCUGAAGGAUUUCCUAACAAUUAAAUCUUAAUUAUGAUUCUGCUUGGAACUUGUCUUAAUAAUUAGUUGGCCCCGAAUCUUGCAGGGUCCCUAUCCCUUAAAAUUAGGGUUUAUAAUUUCCAAUCUCUUUGUCUAAAUUAAUCUUUGGCUUGCUGAUGCUAUAAUCAUCCUUCCACCUCCUUCAUUCGAAUAUUCUUUCAGCUUGAAUUUUAAAUGUUAUUGCAUAUAUAUCUUGAUAAUGGGUUUCUUUGAUAAUAAUUAAGGUUGGCAAAGAAAUAAUAAAAGAAACUGAAAAUUGGCAACAUUCCAAAUUAAUUAGUGAAACAAAAGGUACUAAUAAUCAAUAAAGCACUUUAGAAAAGUUAUAAUGUAUGCAUGGUACAAAUAAUUUGAGAUAUAUAUAUAUAUAUAAUGAAUUUAUCAUAUCAAUAAUCAUUAUGCAUGCUCAAAAUGAUUGAAUUUGAUAGUAUAUGGCUUCAAGAAAAAGUAGGUUUUGUUAUAGUAUAACAAAUGGUAUCACAAACGGGAAUCCAAUUGAUACCUUAGUGGAUUUCUUUAAUCAUGCAUAAUAAGUUUCGGCUUUCUGUUCUUAUUUUCUCAAGAAAAUUACAAACAAGAUAUACAUAAUGCUAAUCUUACUAAGCUACACACUUAAAUUAGAAUAUUGUUGUCAUCCUUUAUGAUUAGAGAGGAUCUAUCAAUGGAAAAAUUAAAAAGAAAAGAUAUAGAUAUCUAUCAUUGACCCACCAUCACCCACUAAGUAGGUCUUUAAUGACAAAAUCUCUUUGUGAUGAAAUGAGCCACUAAAGAUGACAUAUAUGAGUCAUCCAAUGUUAAAUAAAUUAUGUUUUUUUUAGCUUUAAUUUGUCAGUUCCUUAAUCAAGAUGUUGACAGAAACUUAUUAACAAUUAGGCAACUAACCCCACCUGUUUUGGAAUGGAACAUUAUUUAGCUGUCAACUCAAGGCUCUCAAUGAUCAGACUAGUCCUAGAAAGCAAAUCCAGGAUAAAUUAGUGUCAUAAUCAAAAACCUAAUCUUUACUACUUAAAAUUUAUUAGUGGGGAGGAAAGCACUAGUGAGCUCUAAAAGAUUAACCAUUUAGAAAGUCCAUGUUUGUGUUUGUAUUGCUGAUCCAUAUAAAGUGAUGCAAAUGCACAAGAAACAUAUAAUUCAACGUGAAUGUUGCAGAUGUUACUAAUUACCAGUCUAUUAUUCUGAUUCUGCUGCUAAACAAGUUGCAAUUCCAGCAGCACAAAUUAAGGACACCAAUUUGAAAUUUUAUUAAUUUGCUCAGCGUCUCGAUUAACCAUCAGGUAAGAAUAGUUUGCUUUCUUUUGCUAGAAAAUGCAUAAUAUGAAUUUACAUAUUGUAUCCAGUUCCUAUUUUCAAUAGAAUUAACAAGACAGGAAAAAGAAGGGAGGGAAUCCGGGAUUAUUAGUUUGGUAAUUAUAAACUAAGUCAAAGCUCAUCUCUUCAGUGCAUAACUCAAUUGCAACCUAUCUUCAGAUCUUCUGGCCAUCCAAACUCCUCCAAGAACGCCAAUACAACUCCAUUUGACCAACCAAAACCAGUCUGUAAUUCAUCAGAGCAAAUGAGGUACAUAGAUGGUCAUUGUUAAGAAUAAACAAUACUCUUAUUAAAGCAUUCUCAGUAUUCAUCAAUUAUUCAACUUAAGAAUCCCUAUUUAUUAAAAGGCAUACUUCUAUAGCUAGUUAGGGUUACAAACUAGAGUUGAAUAAAUCAAUCCAUAUGGGUACAAAGUUUGAGGUAAAUGCAUUAUUACUUUGGUUUGAACCUUUCCAUCUUUGGCAUUCCUACAAUACACGUGUUAGAGUGAUAAAAUUCGGGGAAAAUAAAAAAACACAGCUGAGGAAGUUAUGUCUUAGCUAAUAAACGUCAUAUUCGGGCAAUUACCUGGCUACUAGUUCUAUUACUUAUCCAGUAAUCCAACCAUUGCCCCUUUUCUUUAUUCCAGAAAACAGAGUUUAUUGCCUGUUUUCUUGCUUGAGCAGCUUUCAAAAAACUCUCAGCAGUUCUAUUGUCUCCAACAAUUUGUGCCAUGGAGGCAAUGUCAAGUUCCAUCUGGAUCAACAUACAAACAUCACUUAAAUAUGGGGAAAAAAAUAGAUGGUCUUCUAAGUCUCUAGACUUACUAAGAAGGCAAAGACUUUUACCUUGAGUAUAAAUAUAUUUAAAUCAACAGGUAAUAUUGAUGUUAUUGCCAAUGUGGUGAAAUCUGAAGUUUUCCUGCAAGAAGACAAUUAAACUCCAGAAAUUUGUCAACUGAGUUUUGUCUGAUAAUUAAUUAAUUGAAUCACACAGUAGAGGAAAUGACUUUUUCUCCAACUGAUCUUAAUUAUGUCAUUUUUUUCCUAAUGGAUACUGGUUUGAUGCAAGAUAAUUAAUUACCUCAUCUAUAUAGUACUAAAAUCCCAUCCUGAUUCAGUAGUGGAAGCCAAUUCCCGAUAAAAUUGCUCUUUCUCAUAAGCAUUCAAGAGCUUAGAAGCAUGCGCCUUAUCCUGGUAGAGGAAAGAAGUUAAAACUUAUCCUAAUAAAAUUUCUUUUCGCACCUCAUGCUCAGGUAAUUCUGAUGGAAAGAAGAAUAUACAAUGGUUGAAGAUUCAGGCCUCAGUUUGUUCCACAUUCCAUAAUACCGACUCAAUGUAUGAUUUCUACCAUGAUCCUCUUGGACGUUGACCUUAUGUAUUCCUACAAUACAUUAACAUGUAUAUCAUCAGCUACAUAAUUACGUCCAAGCAAACAAAGAAACGAAUCUUGCGCAGGGGAUGAUACUAUUUAUGUAAAUAGUAUGUAUUCAGUAUACAUGAAUUCUAAAAUUGAUGUUCUUUGAGCAGGGCAGGGAGAGCCUUUUUAACCAAAUCUAAGUCAUCAGUUCGAUUGUAAAUAUCGUAAACCAUUGCACUGAGAAGGGGAGGCUGGCUGCAAGACAUGAACCCAUGCCAUGCCAAUAGCAAGCAUGGUGCACAGAUUCAAAAGAAAGCAUAUACGAUACAUGGUCAGAAAGAUGGGAACAUUUUACAUGUAUUCAAUGCAAAAGAUAUUGCAGAAGCUAUGCCUAAAACUUUGGUCUGAUGGGAAACAAAAUGACGAAGAAGCAUGAUCUGACAGUUGUAACUAAUACAAUAGAUGUUGGAGCAAAAAUAAGUAAGAUAACACAAAAAGAAGCAUUACCUCCUAUUGGUGCAAUAAGCUCUCGCAUAAUUAAGAACAUAACCAUAUGUAUCAAUAAGAGAAAUGAGAUUGGUCACAAUUGCCUUCGCUGUCAUAUACAUCUUACUUGCUAGCAAGCCCCUAUACGCACAUUGAAUCACACCCAUAAAAAAAUUUAGCAGCACAAAAGCACUUGACAUUAGAGAAAAAAAAUAUAUCUUUAACGUCACUGAACUGGCAUUGAAAAAGAAAAAAUAGAACACAUACAAAAACUAACAUAAUAACCCAGUAUGAAUCCCAAUAGUAGACCUCUGUAAACCGGGAACCUGGAAUAACAAACGGUCGAGGCAGGGGAAGCAAAGUGUGAAACUUAGGCCGGUUCAAUACCGAACCAGAAACUCUCCGAGACAAAUUCUUCCACAAAGCAUGCACCUCAAGAGCCCAUGCUCUCACUUGAGGGUUCUUCACCUUAGGCAAGAACCCAUCUGGUUCGGGCACAAAAUCUGGUGGUUCAGCGUACAUAAGAUCGUCUCCUGCACCAUCAAAAUAUUCGUGCAAGAACUCCUUGAAAUCAGGAACCAAAACUGACCCAGUUGCAUUUCUCGGUAGCUUGUGAAAAGCGGUAACAGUUGUGGAAAGAUUGGACUUCAACGACAAAUUAACGUAAAGUUUUGGAUCAAAGUAUUUUUGUUCGAAAGUUGCGAGAGUAGUUUCUUGUACACGCUCCAAGAAAGUGACCAACGGGGUUGUGGGUACGACGGGGCCUCUGUCAAAAUUGCCUGUGGUUGGCUAUGAGAUAGCUUUUGCGACAGUCCCUGAUGCUGAUACUGAUGCAAGCAACAAAAACAACAACAAAAGAGAGAAAGAGGACGCGGGGUGGUUACCGUUAUUGUUACUGCUACAAGAAUGAAAAGACGCCAUGUGCAUGAUUGGAGAUGAAUGAAGAGAGGGAUUGUUGCUUAGGAGACAUGGUGGGUUUCUACGUAAAAGGAAUGUCAACUGAAGUAAAUGGGUUUUGUUCGUUUUGUGGAAAGAUUAGUCACUAGAAUUGGAUUGACUCUAAUUUCUGAUUCCAAACGGCUAAUUUUGUUCUAUCAUUUGUUUGUUAGCAUUCGUGAUCAGACAUUGACAUAUUAAACUGAAACUUUCUUUUGGCUAUUAAUUUUGUUUAUUUAUUAUUUAAGAAAUGCUAUUGCCCGAGUCAACGACUCAUCAGUUAACUUUUUCACUAUUAAAAAAAAUAAAAAUAAAAAAAAGUUUUACAACCAUACUCUUGUGAGUUGGAACAUUUAGAAGUAAGUUGAAAUAACUUAUUUCAAUCGUAAAAAUUCGACUUAAAAUAUACUAAUGUUUGCUAACAGAAAAUCAUAUGACAAAAAUAAGUCAUAUACCAAUAUACACUACCAGAAAAUCACAUGAUAAAAAUAGCCGUAAGAUUUUAAUAAUAUGUAUGCUUAUUAACAAAUAAUGUUAAAAUUUAGUGUAUUUACUUAAAAUUAUUUUUUUUUUUACAAAAUUAACUUUAAAUAAACUUAUAUAAAGUUAUAAAAACUCUAAUUCGUCAUUUAUUAUAAAAGUUGAACCGUUAAUUUAUGAUUCACACGAAGCGUUAGCCAAUUUUCUUCCAUGAACAUGAAUUCCUCCUAGGGGAUUUUUUGCUUUUAAAUCAUUAAUUUCGAAAAACAAUCGCGCAAAAAUUUUAGGACUGAAAAAUAACACAUAAGUGGUAUUGCGAAUGUAAGAUAGGCUGGCCAAGCCCAACUACAACCAGUUCCUGCACAUACCAAUAUUGCGAAUUGCAUUCUUUUAAUAUUUGGCUGAGUUCAAACAAGAAGAAGAAUACCUCCUACCUGUUGUAUGUUGCCAAAAAUUAAGGUUGUAUUAAUGAAUUUUUGAUAAAGUCACAAUUAUCUUGUAUAAAUUAUUGUGUAUAAAUUUGUCCGUAAAAAUUAAUGUAAUAGGAAGAAGUUAAUUGUAUAAAAUUAUUAUCAACCCAUAAAAUUAAAAAAAUUAAAAAAUUAACUAUUAUCAUUUUCUGUCAAUUUCUUCAUGUUUGUCUGCGACUCUAUCAUCAUGAACUUAUUUUCUUAUAUUAUUAUGUAAGAUACAUAAUUGUCCUGUAAUCAUUCGAUAAAAAUCUAACCACUGUAAAAAAAAAUUCUGUUAUUUUAUAUUUUUACAGUCAUUAAAUUUUCAUCGAACAAUUGUAUAUCUUACAUCAUUAUAUAAGGUAACAAAUGUAUUAUCACCAAUUCAUCAUGGUAUUGAACGGGCAUUCAGCAGUAAUAGGAAAACAGCUCAUAAAAUCCCAAUUGGAACGAUAUGGGCUUCUGAUCAAAGUCAUCACCGGAGCAAAAGCAACUAAUAUAAAAUUAAAAAAAAAGAAAAAAAAAAGAAAAAAGAAAACCAACUUAUAUACACACACACACACACACACUGCUGUACCGUACAUCCGCCUUGGCCGUACAGCAGUAUCCUAUCUUGAUACUUAUAGAUGCACCUUCGGUGAAAAUUUUUUGUUCAAAUCGAGAAAAAAAACCCCAUAAAGGCCAAAGGAAGGGCAUACAUACUUUUAGUCCUUUCCGUUGUUCUAUACAACUCAUCAUGGGAAAGGAGAGUUCUGAACCCUAGCAGACUGAAUUCAAUACGCAGGGGCAUGAGUUUAGAGGAAUCUUGAGUUUAUUCAUGGCAAAAUGCAAUCUAUGGACAUAAGGAAUACAGAUGGUCAAUGGAAACACGCAACCCGACAAUUGGAAAGCCUGAGUCGGGAGCCCAAAACUUGGGUGCUGGGUGGGGGCAGUUCCUUACUCAUUCGAUACAUCUCCUCUCCCUCUUACUUGAGAAAUUGAAGAGAACACCAAAAAAAAAAAAACUGGUUGCUUCUUUCUUAUGGUCUUUUCAAACAUGUCUAAUAAAUAAUCUGAACAGCUGAAAUUUGAAAAGAGAGUUAAAUACGAAAUCAGAAGCAAAGAUACCAAAAAUUAUGAAGGGACUUGAUAUACUACCAAACCAGCCACAUUCACAUCUCAGGGUCAGCUGAGGUUCUAUUGUGUGUAGAUGGGGGUGUGGUUCAGUAAGACAGUAACCAUUAUCAUUAUUAUCAUUAUUAUUAUUUUUCAGAAAUUUAUAGGUAAGUGAUACCCGUAUCUGACCUUUUGUUGAUAUGUCUCUAUGGGGCUAGGUGGUCCAUUUGUCUUUUCGGCAAUAAAUCCUGGGAGCAGAGCACUAAUAUGGUCGGUCAGAAGACAAUUAACCAGGAAGUCCGGGUAUUGAAUCAAUGUAGAAAACUGCAAAAGACAGCCUUUUGAGAGCAGAAGAGUAGAGUUUUGAAGGAAAAGAAAGCGAGGUUCUACAUAAUCCGUCGUUGUGUGUUCAUGUUACUUUGUUGGAGGAAGGAUGGAGAUUAAUCAUCUAUGCUACUUUUGCUCUUAUACUUGGGCAUUAGUUUAGUUAACUCAAAAAACAUGAAGCUCUUGCGCUCAUAGAACUUAGGGAUAGUGAUGUAUGUAUUAUAAGGGGAGAAAGCAAGAGAGGUAAGAGUAUGUGAGAAUGGGGGGUUGUGCGUGUGUUAGGAAGGGGGAGUGGUUAAGCUAGUCCUCCUUCCAUAUAAGUUUUAAAAAUGCAAUGCAAAUUCAGGCCUCUUUUUUUUUUUUUUGGUUCUAAAAUUUUUUAUCUCCUGAAUCUUUUUACUUUUUGUUUGGGGAAGCUUCCAGCUUCAUAUUUGAUGGAAACAGAAAGCAGGAUCACUAUACUAGGUGGUGCUUCAUUAUCUAUGUUUCCUCUAUAAAUAUUCUGGAAAAAGAAUGUGAGACAACUGACAAGCACGCCUAUAUAAAUCAAGAGUUCUCGAGGGCCAGCUUAAGUUGAGAUAUCCAUUGUCUUAGCCCAAGAGUCACAAGCUUAGAAUUUAUUCAGUUGUUCCUACUUGUCAUGCAUAGUCAUAACCUAGAGAUUUUUAUAACACUUCAUAUAGUGAUAAAACAAAUAGAGUAGUUCCUACUUGCCAACCAUAUUCAUAACCUAGAGAUUUUAAUAACACCACAUACGGUGAUAAAACUAACAGAAGAUAUGCAUUUGUCGGCUGCACAAAAGGUUCAUUCAUGACAAAGAGCUUGUGUUGGAGAUACUGAUAAUGCUAAAUUGAGAGUUUUUUUUUUUUUUUACAGCAGCAACUUUUUUUUUUUUUUUUUGCUUGUGUUGGAGAUACUGAUAAUGCUAAAUUGAGAGUUCUUUAUUUUUUUUUGUUUUGGGGGGGGAAGCAAUAGAACAACUCAAAGAAAGAUGAUACCGAAUGGACAUUAGGACAAAUUGGAAACAGCACCAAAGAAGAGGUUACUGCACAAUCAGCUUUAGCAUUAUUGCAAGGCUUCUUCACUUAAGCAAAUGAUGAGGUAUCACUUGCAUAGAAAAUUAGAAAUAGAGUUAAGAUAACAUCGCCAGGCCCAGUAAAAGCAACAAAUACUCAAAAUGAUAUGAAAUACACUACUCAAAAAGCAUCUUGACCAUUACUAUGUCCAGGUGGGUUAAAAUCAGCCCUAAUCUCAGUGAUAAUGAUCCAUAGAGGCCCAGCCAACAGUCAGCUGUGUGCGAUGCCAGAGCGAUCCUCUAGCUGCAGGCAUGAAAAUGAACUAGAAACUUUUUGCCAUGUCCCUGAAACUACAUCUCCAUAAAAAGUAGCAUUGUUUCUAGUUUCAGUCUAGCAAAACUCUACUCUGAAAACAAGCGUCAAAACUAUGGAGAUUCAUUCCUAGCAAUUUUGAUCAAUUAGAUUAAGCAGAUGAAUAUGCCAAUUUCUGGUGGUAUACAUAGUCUUAUGCACUGCAAGUAUAUAUCUACAGAAAACUCUAUUAAUAAGCCAGAGCAAUAAAGUUAUUUGCAGCAGCAAAUUGGUUAUUGAGCCAGCCAAUAAGAGAUGGCAAAGUUGAAUUCCCCCAGAUAAAGAUUUAUCAUGGAAUUCAAUAGCAAAAACGUUGGGGGUGGUGGGGGGGCGCAAAAAAAAAACACAUUCCAGUGAUAUCCUUGUAAAAACAAACAAUCAAAAAAAUUAAUUUUGACCAAGGAUCUUGAAGCAAGAACAAUAAUCAAAUAAAGAAAAAACUUAGUUUCGUUCAUACCAAGACAACUUCAGAGAGGAUAAGGACUUGCAUAUCUUCAAAUUGUGCUGGAAAUUAGAAAACCCAAAAAUAUCCUCACAAAAUACAGCAAAUAUUUGUUCAGCAUUCACAAAAUCGAAUUGAAAACGAAACACAGCCAAACGAACCAGCUCCAACAAUUUCAACACCGUUAUUACACAUUAACUGAGAUUUGAUUAUCCACAUGAAAGCCCUAAACGACAUAUAAAACGCAGCGUUUUUUUGUUGUUGUAAGAAAAGAAAAGAGGUAAAAGGAAUUGAUUAAUAUAACAAUUCAGAUACCAAAGGAAGGGCAGGCGAUGGAUCAAACGAUGUCGUCGGGAGCGUGGGAGUUGCUGGUGAGCGUAAGAGGGCGAUCCUUCGCCUCAUCCUCCUCGUCGUCGUCGGGAUCGGUUGUAGUGAGAUUGACGCAAGAGCAUCGUUCGAGGGACGCGAAGAAGGCGGAGACUACAGUGGCGCUCACCCAGCUUGCCACGUUGCCCAAGCUGUCUCGCGAUAUUAUGCUGUUACUGGGGUUGUUAUCUUCCAUUACGAAUUAGAUUUUAGAAUUUUGUGAGAUAUGAAAAUGAAAAUUGGGUAUUUGCUUUUUGAUUUGGGAUUUGGAUGAAUUGUUUGGAAUUGCGGAUAAAAUAAGAACGGACCCAAUUGUCAGAGACUUGGAAUUAGACCCUGAGAUUUGAGAUUUCAUUAUUUAUAUAUAUAUAUAGAUUUUAGGUAACUCUCCC